UUGACUCUCCCCCCCAGCCGCCAUCGAGAGACGCAGGUCGACUCUCCCCCCCAGCCGCCGCCAAGAGACGCAGGUCGACUCUCCCCCCAGCCGCCGCCGAGAGACGCAGGUCGAAUCCCCCCCAGCCGCCACCGAGAGAUGCGGGUCGAAUCCCUCCACAGCCGCCACUGAGAGACGCAGGUCAAAUCCCUCCCCAGCCGCCACUGAGAGACGCAGGUCGAAUCCCUCCCCAACCGCCACCGAGAGAUGCAGGUCAGCUCCCCCAGCCGCCUCCUAAAGAUGCAGGUCGGCUCCCCCAGCUUCCAUAGAGAAGAGAGUCGAAUUCCCCAGCUGCCACCAAUAUCAAAACCGCCCUCUCUCUCUGCUGGUACCCAGAGGGACGCAGGUCAAUACCACCCUCUCUGCUGGUACCCAGAGGGGCACAGGUCAAUACCACCCUCUCUCUCUGCUGGUGCCCUGAGAGGUGAAAGUCCUCUGCUGGUACCCUGAGAGAUGCAGGUCGAUACCACCCUCUCUCUGCUGGUGCCCUGAGAGACUAAGUCGAAGCCCUCCUUUGCUGGUAUCGCGAGAGAUGCAGGUCAAAAACUCUAUUGGUGCCCUGAGAGAGGAACCUCCUCUGCAGGUACCCUGAGAGAAGCAGGUCAAAACUACCCCCUCUCUGCUUGUGCCCUGAAAGACGCAGGUUGAACCUGCCCUCUGCUGGUCCACAGAGUUGCAGGUCGAAAACACCCUCUCUUCGCUGGUGCCCAGAGAGAGAGAGGUCGAAGCAGUUUGUUGCUGGUGCCCUGAGAGAUUUAUGUCGAAACUACUCCCUCUCUGCUGGUGCUCUUGAGAUGCAGUUUGAAGCCGCCCUCUACUGGUGCCCUGAGAGACGCAGGUCGAAGCCGCCCUCUUGCUGCUGGUGCCCUAAGAGACGCAGGUCAGAGCCCUCAUCUGUCCCGAAGUGGUUGCUGUUUAGAUCCUCAAAGAUAAGAAAUAUGACUGCCAUUAUAUAAUUGGGUGUGUAAUGCCAGAUAUUCUAGCAAGUUGCAGAUCACUUAUGCUUUACCAGCUAUCAGAACUGAUUUUUCUAUUUUUUGGCAUUAACUUCGUGAUAUUUUCUCAAAUGCAUGCAAGAUUAAUGAAGUUUUCCCUUAACAAGUGGUCAUGUUAUGGUUAAAUUGGAGAGCUAUGAUUAGAAUAAAUGGAAUUUGGGGAGGUGGUAAUCAGUCACAAAGCAAUUAAUUUGUAUUUAGUCCUCUCUCUGCCGUCUGCUAAGUCGCAGUCCCUCCUCAUAUUGGGAUAUAUUUGCAUCUACAAUUUGCAAUGUAAGUUGAUUGCUAUAUAAUGCGUCUGUGGAGUUAACUUUUUAUAAUGGAAAUUAGAAAGGGGGGGUGGGGCCUGUUAACCUUAUGCCGAAAGAUCUUUAUUGCAGGAGUUUCCACACUUUGCUGUUUGAAGAACAUUUUCCUUGGUGUUGUGUUUAUAUAUUGGAGUUUGAGCAUUCAGAACUUCGCAUCAAGUAAGCAGAGAAUCGUAUCUAGUUAUUUGAGAAAAGAGGUAUAGUUUUCUAUUUUGUAGUGAUUUUGUUCUGAAGUUGUCUUGAAUAGGGAUACGUAAGGAUAAAACUUUUUGAUAAUUGGAAUAUUGGGGGGAAGGGGGGAUACCACUCACAGAGAGUUCUUGGUUUUUUGCAGUCUUCUGUCUUCUACAUCGCAUGUUCCACAGCUAACAGCUGCCAGGUCUCACCAUAUAUUUUUGGAUCCAUGCGCCAAUAUUUUUCCAUGUAAGUUGGUCGUUGUUUGAUGUUUAUGUAGUGUUUUUGUGUUCACUGAAGUGAAGGGGGCCGGAGGGGGCCAUUAACCUUAUGCCAGAGGUUCUUUAUUGCAGAAGUUUCCACACUUCGUCAUUUGAAGGACAUUUUUUGUGUGGUGUAGUUUAUACAUUGAAGUUCCAAUAUUCAGAAUACGACAUCAAGUAAGUGUAGUUCCAGUAUUCAGAAUAUGACAUCAAGUGUGUAAAUAUAUUUGAGAAACUUAUAAUAAUUUUUUUUUUUUUAAGUUUGCAAAUAGGUAGAAGUAUAAGUAAUGCUUUCCUUUGAGAAAUGGAAGUAAUGAAAUAUUUGGGGAGGGGGCGGGGUUAACACUCACAAAGCAAGUUCUUGGUAUUUACAGUCCUUUCUGCUACUUCAUAUGUACCACAGUUUACGUCUGCAAUGGUCUCGCUCGCUUCGAUAUUUGAUAAUGUAAGUUGGCAAUGGUCUCGAUCUCUUCGAUGUUUGAUAAUGUAAGUUGGUUGUCAUGCAUAUGUAUAGUGUUAACGAUUGUGUUCACUUCCCUUGAUAUUUGAUGUUAGGGAUAUUA
Molecule: long non-coding RNA, 2342 nt
Organism: Macrobrachium nipponense
Lineage: Eukaryota; Metazoa; Arthropoda; Malacostraca; Decapoda; Palaemonidae
Exons: 3
Source: RefSeq, a predicted model, not a curated record